CCUACGGGAGGCAGCAGUAGGGAAUAUUGCUCAAUGGGGGAAACCCUGAAGCAGCAACGCCGCGUGGAGGAUGAAGGUUUUCGGAUUGUAAACUCCUUUUGUUAGAGACGAUAAUGACUGUAUCUAACGAAUAAGCACCGGCGAACUCCGUGCCAGCAGCCGCGGUAAUACGGAGGGUGCAAGCGUUACUCGGAAUCACUGGGCGUAAAGAGCGAGUAGGCGGGAUAGCAAGUCAGAUGUGAAAUCCUAGGGCUUAACCAUAGAACUGCAUUUGAAACUGUUAUUCUAGAGUAUGGGAGAGGUAGGUGGAAUUCUUGGUGUAGGGGUGAAAUCCGUAGAGAUCAAGAGGAAUACUGAGUGCGAAGGCGACCUGCUAGAACAUAACUGACGCUGAUGCGCGAAAGCGUGGGGAGCAAACAGGAUUAGAUACCCGGGUAGUC
RNAcentral lists this ribosomal RNA (440 nucleotides) under uncultured bacterium. RNAcentral's name for it is "partial 16S ribosomal RNA". It matches the Rfam family "Bacterial small subunit ribosomal RNA", at positions 338 to 795 of the family's 1533-position model. The record is from RNAcentral.